ACUGUGUGUAGUGCUGUUUACAUGGU
Molecule: non-coding RNA, 26 nt
Filed under: Cricetulus griseus (Chinese hamster)
Lineage: Eukaryota; Metazoa; Chordata; Mammalia; Rodentia; Cricetidae
Source: RNAcentral